Molecule: ribosomal RNA, 493 nt
Filed under: uncultured bacterium
Lineage: Bacteria
Description: partial 16S ribosomal RNA
Rfam family: Bacterial small subunit ribosomal RNA
Source: RNAcentral
AUUGAACGCUGGCGGCAUGCUUUACACAUGCAAGUCGAACGGUAACAGGUUAAGCUGACGAGUGGCGAACGGGUGAGUAAUGCAUCGGAACGUGCCCGAACGUGGGGGAUAACGAAGCGAAAGCUACGCUAAUACCGCAUACGAUCUGAGGAUGAAAGCGGGGGACCGUGAAGACUCGCGCGAUCGGAGCGGCCGAUGUCAGAUUAGGUAGUUGGUGGGGUAAAGGCUAACCAAGCCGACGAUCUGUAGCUGGUCUGAGAGGACGACCAGCCACACUGGGACUGAGACACGGCCCAGACUCCUACGGGAGGCAGCAGUGGGGAAUUUUGGACAAUGGGCGAAAGCCUGAUCCAGCCAUGCCGCGUGCAGGAUGAAGGCCUUCGGGUUGUAAACUGCUUUUGUACGGAACGAAAAGGUUUGGCCUAAUAAGCUGAGCUCAUGACGGUACCGUAAGAAUAAGCACCGGCUAACUACGUGCCAGCCGCCGCCGUAA